RNAcentral lists this ribosomal RNA (494 nucleotides) under uncultured bacterium. Its description in RNAcentral is "partial 16S ribosomal RNA". It matches the Rfam family "Bacterial small subunit ribosomal RNA", at positions 28 to 506 of the family's 1533-position model. The record is from RNAcentral.
GACGAACGCUGGCGGCGUGCCUAAUACAUGCCAGUAGAACGCUGAAGGAGGAGCUUGCUUCUCUGGAUGAGUUGCGAACGGGUGAGUAACGCGUAGGUAACCUGCCUGGUAGCGGGGGAUAACUAUUGGAAACGAUAGCUAAUACCGCAUAACAGUAGAUAUCGCAUGAUAUCUACUUGAAAGGUGCAAUUGCAUCACUACCAGAUGGACCUGCGUUGUAUUAGCUAGUUGGUGAGGUAACGGCUCACCAAGGCGACGAUACAUAGCCGACCUGAGAGGGUGAUCGGCCACACUGGGACUGAGACACGGCCCAGACUCCUACGGGAGGCAGCAGUAGGGAAUCUUCGGCAAUGGACGGAAGUCUGACCGAGCAACGCCGCGUGAGUGAAGAAGGUUUUCGGAUCGUAAAGCUCUGUUGUAAGAGAAGAACGAGUGUGAGAGUGGAAAGUUCACACUGUGACGGUAUCUUACCAGAAAGGGACGGCUAACUACGU